GGUGGUGUAGCUCAGUGGUAGAGUGCUUGCCUUGUAUGUGUGAGGCACUGGGUUCAAUCCUCAGCACCACAU
RNAcentral lists this transfer RNA (72 nucleotides) under Marmota marmota marmota (Alpine marmot). It matches the Rfam family "tRNA". Rfam says of the family: Transfer RNA (tRNA) molecules are approximately 80 nucleotides in length. Their secondary structure includes four short double-helical elements and three loops (D, anti-codon, and T loops). RNAcentral also lists the same sequence under 1 other name. Lineage: Eukaryota; Metazoa; Chordata; Mammalia; Rodentia; Sciuridae. The record is from Rfam by way of RNAcentral.